Molecule: non-coding RNA, 219 nt
Organism: Pelobates cultripes (western spadefoot toad)
Lineage: Eukaryota; Metazoa; Chordata; Amphibia; Anura; Pelobatidae
Source: the annotation of a GenBank genome assembly
GUCGGAAACCUUCUAGCUCCAGUUUACCUCCUCCUCUAUCCCUUAUCUUGGCAUUAGAAUCACUGCACUGCCAUCAGACCUUACCACCAAUUACCCUCUAAUUUACUCUGUCUUAAAAAGAGACAUCCAGAAUUUGGAUAAAUACGCCAUCUCCUGGGUGGGCAGAGUACACACCAUUAAGAUGAAUAUAAUGCUGUGUCUAGUUUACCUAUUUCAGAC